Molecule: long non-coding RNA, 657 nt
Organism: Magallana angulata
Lineage: Eukaryota; Metazoa; Mollusca; Bivalvia; Ostreida; Ostreidae
Exons: 6
Source: RefSeq, a predicted model, not a curated record
UGAAUUGCACACUGAGAAGAUCAAAGCUGGGAUUCUCCUGCAUAGAUGAAAGACCAGAGGUUGCAAUGCCAGCUGUGUUCUACGGAAGGCCAUCACAGAAAAUAUGCAGAUUUACCACAACUGAGUGAUCAGUGACCAUUAAGCUGCAAAACAUUAUCAAGAUAACUUUAAGUAAAAACACAGAGGGAUAUUGGAGAGGAGAAUUUGUCCAGAUCUUGACCGGGGUUGACUUCUGAACGAGGAAUGGUUGCUGUGUUUGAAAUGCUCUCCAGCUUAAUCAGGCAUUUCAUCAGCCAAUAGAAUCGCAGGAGAAAAUGGGCUGGUCUUAAGCUAUGCUGGAGUUGUCUGCCCUUGUGUGUGUUCAGAUCGCUAAACACCUUAUGUUCUGUUAUGGAGACUUUGUUUAUUGUGACAGAAUUUUGGAUGAGGUCACAUUGUGUGUUGCAUCAUACAUGUGAAACUGACACUGGAAAAACCAUUAGGAUUUUUAACACAGGUGGAAGGAAUGGCACACAAAUGUCCCUUGUCUGGUUUUUGAUCAUCUCCACGCUACAGCUCAUGCUGUUGGACAUGCGCUCCAUGUUGGUGGAGAUAUUGGACACUGGCCCACUGACCAGGGCUGCCAGGAGGAGGGAGUAAAGCACCCACCGCCCGUAC